UACGAGAGGCCCAAACGUUAUUCGGAAUUACUGGGCUUAAAGAGUUCGUAGGCGGCAUUGCAAGUAGGGUGUGAAAGCCCUCGGCUCAACCGAGGAAUUGCGCUCUAAACUGCAGUGCUUGAGGAACCUAGAGGUGAGCAGAACAGAUGGUGGAGCGGUGAAAUGCGUUGAUAUCAUCUGGAAUACCGGAGGCGAAGGCGGCUCACUGGGAGUUUUCUGACGCUGAGGAACGAAAGCCAGGGUAGCGAACGGG
RNAcentral lists this ribosomal RNA (253 nucleotides) under uncultured bacterium. RNAcentral describes it as "partial 16S ribosomal RNA". It matches the Rfam family "Bacterial small subunit ribosomal RNA", at positions 524 to 776 of the family's 1533-position model. The record is from RNAcentral. RNAcentral also lists the same sequence under 1 other name.